GACGAACGCUGGCGGCGUGCCUAAUACAUGCAAGUCGAGCGGACUGAUUGGGAGCUUGCUCUUGUUCGGUCAGCGGCGGACGGGUGAGUAACACGUGGGCAACCUGCCCGCAAGACCGGGAUAACUCCGGGAAACCGGAGCUAAUACCGGAUAACACCGAAGACCGCAUGGUCUUUGGUUGAAAGGCGGCGCAAGCUGCCACUUGCGGCUGGGCCCGCGGCGCAUUAGCUAGUUGGUGAGGUAACGGCUCACCAAGGCGGGGAUGGGUAGCCGGCCCGAGAGGGGAAGAUGCGAAGCUGGGACGGGAGGACGGCCCGGAACCCUGGGAGAGAGAGACGGAGGGAAUCCUCCGGGAAGGGAGCAGGGCGGAAGGUGGGACGACGGGUGAGCGAAGGAGGCAGUCGGGUCGGGAGGCUGAGGUGGGAGGGAGGAAGGUGCGACGUUUGAAGAAGGGAGCGUAAUGACGGUACCUCAAGAAGAAGCCCCGGCUAACUACGUG
Molecule: ribosomal RNA, 499 nt
Filed under: uncultured bacterium
Lineage: Bacteria
Description: partial 16S ribosomal RNA
Rfam family: Bacterial small subunit ribosomal RNA
Source: RNAcentral